AGAGUUUGAUCCUGGCUCAGAUUGAACGCUGGCGGCAGGCCUAACACAUGCAAGUCGAGCGGAAACGAUGGGAGCUUGCUCCCAGGCGUCGAGCGGCGGACGGGUGAGUAAUACAUAGGAAUCUGCCCAGUAGUGGGGGACAACUCGAGGAAGCUCGAGCUAAUACCGCAUACGCCCUACGGGGGAAAGCAGGGGAUCUUCGGACCUUGCGCUAUUGGAUGAGCCUAUGUCGGAUUAGCUUGUUGGUGGGGUAACGGCUCACCAAGGCGACGAUCCGUAGCUGGUCUGAGAGGACGACCAGCCACACUGGGACUGAGACACGGCCCAGACUCCUACGGGAGGCAGCAGUGGGGAAUAUUGGACAAUGGGGGAAACCCUGAUCCAGCCCUGCCGCGUGGGUGAAGAAGGCUUUCGG
This 415-nucleotide ribosomal RNA is filed under the name uncultured deep-sea bacterium. Its description in RNAcentral is "bacterial SSU rRNA". It matches the Rfam family "Bacterial small subunit ribosomal RNA", at positions 8 to 421 of the family's 1533-position model. The record is from RNAcentral.